CAUGACGGCCCCUCCGCCUCUACGACGGCGGCGGUCAUCGAGCUCUACAUGCGUCUUGAGCGCCUCGCCAUUCAAAGUGGCUCUAAUAGUAGACCAGAAAUCGCAUGCGACCAGGGCGACAACGAUGGGUCAGCGACGUCAGUGCGUGCAUCGCAGCGUGGCUCUGCCGUGUCGUGCCGGUUGGACGGAGGCCGCCUUCGGAGCACCAGCAGCCCUCAACUCUUCUUACUGGGUGAUGAUGGAGUGGUGCGCGAGCUCGCUACCGCGCUGCAGGUGUCGUCGUCGUCGCUGCUCAACAGCCAUGACAACACUCCGCCGCAUGGAACAGGGUUGGCUGCAGCGCUUGAUGGCAUCAUCGGCGACGCACAGAGUCGUGUGUACGGAACUCCGGAUACACCGUCUUCUUUCCUGCGGCGGGCUGAUGAAGACAGCGGCACACUAGCGCCAAGCUCAUCAUCCCACGCAGCAGCGCCGCCACCGGAGGUGUACACUCUCUCCAACAGCCUACGCGGCCUGGAGUCCAUGCGCCCCGAGUUGUGCGGGUGGUGCAACGUCGUGCUGCUCUGCUACCACGUUGCGAACCCUGUGAGUUUGGCCCUGCUUGGAGAAGAGGUAGCCCCCUCUGUCUUGGCUGCGUUAGCGACGGCGGCACACCUGACGCGUCCAGCCACGACCACAUAAACGACCGCAAGCGUCGAUGUGCUUCCCCCACAGCGGACGACAACGAGAGCUCACUUACCAAUGCACAGGAGAGGCUGGGGGUGUGGCCUCCAUCGCCUGCCAGCUACGCCGCGCCAUGCUAUCGCCAUCGCCGCUACCUGUAUGUGUCGUGGUCGCUGCAGAGACGCGGGAAGAAAGCGAUACGCGUGGCAAGCAAGCCAGGCGCGCAUCACCUAUGCGCAGUGUCGACGACGUUGUAGCCUGAUGGCGAUGCAUGCCUUUCCAUCUCUUUCACUCUAUCCUCCUUUGCACACGCACACGCACACACACAAACUCCACUAUGGCUCUCCUCGUCGAUAUCAAG
RNAcentral lists this unclassified non-coding RNA (1024 nucleotides) under Leishmania donovani. RNAcentral's name for it is "gene:LdHU3.25.2420(CDS-product:hypothetical_prote in)". Lineage: Eukaryota; Euglenozoa; Kinetoplastea; Trypanosomatida; Trypanosomatidae. The record is from RNAcentral.